UAGGUCGGGAAGAUCCUCUGGAGAAGGAAAUGACUACCCACUCCAGUAUUCUUGCCUGGAGAAUCCCAUGGACAGAGGAGCGUGGUGGGCUACCGUCCAUGGGGUUGUAAAGAGUCAAGCACAACUGAACUACUAACACUAUCUUUCAGAGACAUUACUUUGCCAACAAAAGUCAGUCUAGUCAAAG
Molecule: long non-coding RNA, 187 nt
Organism: Cervus elaphus (red deer)
Lineage: Eukaryota; Metazoa; Chordata; Mammalia; Artiodactyla; Cervidae
Exons: 3
Source: RefSeq, a predicted model, not a curated record